CAAUAGCGUAUAUUUAAGUUGCUGCAGUUAAAAAGCUCGUAGUUGGAUUUCGGGUGGGAAUGGCCGGUCCGCCGUUUCGGUGUGCACUUGCUACGCCCACCUUGCUGCCGGGGACGUGCUCUUGAGUUCACGCUCGGGACACGGAGUCGGCGAGGUUACUUUGAGUAAAUUAGAGUGUUCAAAGCAGGCCUACGCUCUGAAUACAUUAGCAUGGAAUAACACGAUAGGACUCUGGCCUAUCUUGUUGGUCUGUAGGACCGGAGUAAUGAUUAAGAGGGACAGUCGGGGGCAUUCGUAUUUCAUUGUCAGAGGUGAAAUUCUUGGAUUUAUGAAAGACGAACUACUGCGAAAGCAUUUGCCAAGGAUGUUUUUGUUGA
This 377-nucleotide ribosomal RNA is filed under the name uncultured eukaryote. RNAcentral describes it as "partial 18S ribosomal RNA". It matches the Rfam family "Eukaryotic small subunit ribosomal RNA", at positions 592 to 976 of the family's 1831-position model. The record is from RNAcentral.